This 104-nucleotide ribosomal RNA is filed under the name Paenibacillus sp. LHD-38. RNAcentral's name for it is "partial 16S ribosomal RNA". It matches the Rfam family "Bacterial small subunit ribosomal RNA", at positions 1432 to 1533 of the family's 1533-position model. The record is from RNAcentral. Lineage: Bacteria; Bacillati; Bacillota; Bacilli; Caryophanales; Paenibacillaceae.
GGGGUAACCCGCAAGGGAGCUAGCCGUCGAAGGUGGGGUAGAUGAUUGGGGUGAAGUCGUAACAAGGUAGCCGUAUCGGAAGGUGCGGCUGGAUCACCUCCUUU